GACCUGCCUGGGGAGUACGGUCGCAAGAUUAAAAACUCAAAGGGAAUUGACGGGGNCCCGCUCAAGCGGUGGAGCAUGUGGUUUAAUUNGACGCAACGCGAAGAACCUUACCUGGGUUUGACAUCCUUAGAAUUCUUUAGAGAUAGAGAAGUGCCUUCGGGAGNUAAGUGACAGGUGCUNGCAUGGUCGUCGUCAGCUCGUGUCGUGAGAUGUUGGGUUAAGUCCCGCAACGAGCGCAACCCCUAUCGUUAGUUGCCAUCAUUAAGUUGGGCACUCUAGCGAGACUGCCGGUGACAAACCGGAGGAAGGUGGGGGCGACGUCAAAUCAUCAUGGCCCUUAUGUCCAGGGCUACACACGUGCUACAAUGGCAGAUACAACGAGUUGCGAAUCCUGCGAGGGUAAGCUAAUCUCUUAAAGUCUGUCUCAGUUCGAGAUUGCACUCUGCAACUCGAGUGCAUGAAGUUGGANNCGNUAGUAAUCGCGGAUCAGCAUGCCGCGGUGAAUACAGUUCCCGGNCC
This 519-nucleotide ribosomal RNA is filed under the name uncultured bacterium. Its description in RNAcentral is "bacterial SSU rRNA". It matches the Rfam family "Bacterial small subunit ribosomal RNA", at positions 866 to 1380 of the family's 1533-position model. The record is from RNAcentral.